This 393-nucleotide ribosomal RNA is filed under the name uncultured bacterium. RNAcentral's name for it is "partial 16S ribosomal RNA". It matches the Rfam family "Bacterial small subunit ribosomal RNA", at positions 523 to 918 of the family's 1533-position model. The record is from RNAcentral.
AUACGGAAGGUCCGGGCGUUAUCCGGAUUUAUUGGGUUUAAAAGGAGCGCAGGCGGAGAUGCAAGCGUGACGUCAAAUUUCGGGGCUCAACCCCGUCUCGCGUCGCGAACUGCGUCCCUUGGUUGCGGGAAGGGGAGGCGGAACUCGUGGUGUAGCGGUGAAAUGCAUAGAUAUCACGAAGAACUCCGAUCGCGAAGGCAGCCUUCCGGCCCGUCAACGACGCUCAUGCUCGAAGGUGCGGGUAUCAAACAGGAUUAGAUACCCUGGUAGUCCGCACAGUAAACGAUGGACACCCGCGGUUUGGCCUGUAUGGCUGAGCCGCCAAGCGAAAGCGUUAAGUGUCCCACCUGGGGAGUACGCCGGCAACGGUGAAACUCAAAGGAAUUGACGGGG